Equus caballus (horse) is the source of this 4711-nucleotide long non-coding RNA. Lineage: Eukaryota; Metazoa; Chordata; Mammalia; Perissodactyla; Equidae. The record is from Ensembl.
ACCACCAUCUUGACCUCUAGCAGCAGACUAAUUUUGCUUCUUUUGAACUUUGUAUAAAUGGGAUCAUACAGUGUGUCUUCUUUUAUGACUAUCUUCUUUUUUUUUUUUGGUGAGGAAGAUUGGCCCUGAGCGAACAUCUGUUGCCAAUCUUCCUCUUUUUGCUUGAGGAUGAUUGUCCCUGAGCUAACAUCUGUGCUAAUCUUCCUCUAUUUUUUGGCAUAUGGGACACCUCCACAGCAUGGCUUGAUGAGUGGUGUGUAGGUUCGUGCCUGGGAUCCAAACUUGUGAAUCUCAGGCUGCCGAAACAGAGUGCGCAAACUUAACCACUACACCACCAGGCCAGCCCCUGUGACUAUCUUCUUUCAUCAACAUUAUGGUUCUGAAAUUCAUCCAUAUUGAUGCACACAGGUGCAACUUGUUCACUCUGGUUGCUAUGUAGUACUCUGUCCUAGGUGCUAGGGACUGAAUCUUUGUGGUUGCCCCUCCCACUUCAUGAGCAGAAGCCCCAGUCCCCAUUGUGAUGGUAUUGGGAGGUGAGGCCUUCGGGAAGUAAUUCAGCUUAGAUUAGGUAACGGGGGUGAGGCCCUCAUGAUGGCAUUCAUGCCCUAUUAGAAGGGGAGGAGUUAUGAAAUGUUCUGCUUCAGAUCAUCCAAUAUGUAUGAUUUUUCUGUUGGGGUCUAUCCCUUGGAAUGGAAAUGUUGGGUCAUAAAGUGUGUCUAUUUUCAGCCUUGGUAGAAACUACCAUUGUUUUUCAAAGUGUUUGUAGCAAUCAACACUCCCAGCAAUAGUGUACAUGAGUUCCACUUGCUCCAUAUCCUUGCCAACACUUGAUGUUGUCAGUCUUUUGAAUUUUAGCCAUUCUGGUGGAUGUGUAGUGAGAACUCAUUGUGUAUGUAUGUGUGUGUGUUCUUUUUAUUUUGAGAUAAUUGAAGAUUCACAUGUAGUUUGUAAGAAAGUACAAGGAGUUCCCAUGGACUCUCUGCUCAGUUUCCCUCCAUAAUAAUAUCUUGAAUAACUGUAGUACAAUGUCACGACCAGGAGACUGACACUCAUACAAUCCACGAGGGUUUGUCCAAUUUCACUUGACUUUGUGCAUGUGUGUUGUCUAAUUUUAUGUAAUUUUACCACAUGUGUAGACUCAAUAACCAUCACCACAGUCAGGACACAGAACGGUCCUGUCACCAGAACCCCUCCUGUCCCCUCCUACAUCCACUGCACCUCCUUCCCUUCCACACACCCUCAUCCCUGCAGCCACGAAUCUGGUCUCCGUCUCCGUCAUUUUGCCAUUUCAAGAACGUUAAACACAUGGAAUCAUACAGUAUGGAAAAUGUGGAGAUUUGUUUUUCUACUCAGCAUAAUUCUCUUGCGAGCCAUCAAGUUGCCAUGUGUCAGAAUCAUUCCUUUUAUUGCUGAGUAGCAUUCCAGGAAUGAGCUUUUAAAAAGACAAUAAGCAUAUAUUCUCAAACAAUCAUUGAUGGUGGUUUCAUUGAUUUCUUCAUUCACACAGGAUGAUAAAAUAGAUUGUCUCAUGUUCUUUCAUUUGUUCAUUAAUUACACCAGCAUUUAUUAAGUACCAACUGAGUGCCAAGCACUGCGCCAGAUCCUGGGCACCCAAGAGACGUAAAAGGACUCUGCCUGGAGGGAUUUUUCCUAGAGUCUAUGUGGGGAGACAGGCUUAUCAAUUUAAUAAGACAAUCCAGCAUUACAGAUGCCAUGACGGUGAUAGAUACAUUUCAUUUAGGAAUAAAGAAGAAAACCUCUGACUCCAAGAGGAUGGGGAUGGAGAAUGAGUCCAGGAGAUACUUUGUAGGGGCAUGACGCAUAAGCCAAGUCUUGGAAGGUGGAUGGUCUGCCUGAUGGCUUUGAGUGAGAGAGGAAGAAGGAGCAAGAACAGCCGGGGUAUAAAACGGAGUUGAGAAGGAGUCUGUACUCAAUGCAGAACUUAGCACACCGUGCUGGCUAAGCCCGAGAAGUGGGUGGGGCUGCUGAAGAGAAGGACAGUUGGGGAAUGUUACCGUUUUUCAGGAACAUACAUUAUCGGAGACACAGAUUCAAGUUGUUGCCCAGAUGCCAUCAGCAGAAUCCUACUUACUCCAUGUGUCUUACUCCAAGUCUUGCGCACCCCAGCCAGCUGCCUGCACUUCCUCAAAGACCCUUGCAUCAGGCACAGCCAAGGACAAUCACUCAAGUUCCACACUGUCUCAGGAGUCUUCACCUCUCAGUUGUGCCUACAACACGGAACACACACGUUCAUCCAUCCACUCAUCUACUCUGAUGUUCAACACAUCACAUAAACUAUUUGAUGCUAAGCUUUCUUUCUUGCCCCUUGGCCCAAAGUGGGAAUGAGGGGCAUCCCCUAAGUAAUAAUAAUUCAAGUAUUUGUUGCUCUCACUAUGGUACAGGCACUGCUCCAUGCCUUCCACAUGGCCCCUCCUCACAACAGCUCUAAGGUGGGCACUGUCCUCACACCUAAUUUUUAGACAAGGAAACUGAGGCACAAAGGGGUUAAGUGACCUGCCCAAGAUUAUGGAGCUUACGAGCAGCAGGGUCAGGUUUCUCUUGUACGAUCAGUCUUUGGAGUCCAUGCUCUAGUGGUUGGCAGACUCCUGGAGAAGAGGGGCAUGGGAACUCUUCCUGAGACCCGAGAGGUCUCUAGGACCCCGGGCUCAGCCAGGGAGGGGGCAGCCCACCUGGCAGGAGGGGCUGGCAUGACAGCAGAUCCAGAGGUCAUGUUCCUACUGCAUCAAGGCGAGCUCAGUCCUCCAUUUUGAGAGUCUCAUAGGGUGGGGUGAGGGUCCCCAUCAGUCUCCCCGGCAUCUAAUCCAACCCGCUCAAACCAAGCCUUAUGUUAUCAUGACAGUUUCAGCCCACAAGCAUUUCCUAAUUUAAUCACCUAAAGAGAAUCUCAGUACUUUGUAUAGAAAAGUGAGGCAAAACCAUACCCAAGAGGCAUUUUCUCUGGCUAUGGUGCUCUUUUCCAUUUCUGGAUAUUGGCACACGCUGUCCCUCUACCUAGAUGGACCUACCUUUUCCCUCUCCCCCUUGUCCUCAUCCAGUUACCUCCUACUUCCUUAGGAUGCCAGCCCAAGCAUCAAUGCCCAGGGACAUCUACCUUGUUCAGAGCUCCUUAUUAUAUAUUUGCACAGUACCUUACAUUUUCCCCUCUGAGUUCCUAUUACAACUUAUAAUUAUAUAUUUAUGUGAUUAUCUACUUAUUAAAUACUCUUCUACUAAAAUUUAAGAGUGAUAGAACUGAGACAAUAUUUGUGUUUGCUUAGCAUUUUAUAUUGAUGGUGCAGUACCUGGCACAUCGUAGGUGCUCCAUAAAUGCUUGCUGACUGGAUGCAGGAAUGAGCAGGUGGACGAAUGGAAAAUUGAUGGAAUGAAUGAAUGAAUCACCAAGGCUUCAUGAAAAAGGAUUCGGUGUUUUGCAAUGACAUCAAUUCCCUGUGCUAUCUUGGCCAUCGUUGGUGUAAUAGGCUUCCUGGACACCCAAGGCAUAGUCUUUCAGAUGAACUCACAUGGUGCCCAGGCUUCUGUGCACCCUGCCCAGCCCAGCCCCACCUGCCUGGCUAGUCUGUAACUCAGUCCCUCAGUUUGAUUUCUACCACCAUCUCUUACAAGCGGGAAUUGCUGAUUUUCUCUAAUUAAGGCUGGAAGGAUGGCUUCCUGAGUGGGUAAUAGAUUUCCAGAGUUCAGCAUUUCAUCUGCGCAGCCCACAUGCACUCAGAAACGGGGCACAUUCAUUAAGAGAACGGCCAGACGGCUUCCUCUUUGGGUGCUUGUUUGCCUACAUUUAAUGAAUGAAUAAAUAACAUGCCUAUUCAUUACCAACUUUUGAGUGGAAAUAAUUGCUGGGUUUCCUCAUUUGCUUGGAAUAAUGUUCUCUGCGUUUGGAGCGACUUCUGUCUCGGUCACGGCAGUAUUUCCUGGUCAAGGGGCCAGAGGUGUCCUCCAGGGGCUGACGUUCACCUCCGGCUCACCUUUGAGAGAAGCAAUCACUCUUCUUGUCCUCCAGGGUCCCAUCCAGUGCACUGGGAAUGCGCAUUUGUGGAAGGAGACCCUGGGACCCUAAGAAGUAAAUGAGACUGGUAGGCCCAUUAAUUCUCUGAGUACACCCUGGGGGCACCUGGGGCAUUAUAAUGUAAUUACUACUAAGAAAGCCUCAACUCCUACGUACUUUGCCAAAAAGCAUUUUAUAGACAAGGAAGUACUGGGUUGUGCCCUCUCUGUGCACACGGGCCUAACUUUGGCCACAGGAAGCCAAGAGGACCAUUAUGGUGACUCUUGGUUGACGAGGAGCAAGUGACCCUUGAGAAGUCAUCACUCAUCUCUUAGUAAUGAAUCAUUUGCCAAGUGCCGAUGCUGGGCAUGAAUUAAGGAGUACCGGAUCCCUCAUCUCCAUCCUGGAUCUGUACCAUUGUUGCCCAAAUGGUCUCACAGCCUCUUUUACCACCUCUGCCAGUUUAUGUUCUCCAUGGUUGCGCAGUGGUCUUUCAAAAACACACAUCUAAUCACAACACUCCCCUAUCCCCUACUGAGAAUCCAGAGCUUCCCUAUUGACUGUAGGAUUCAGUACACAGUCCUUUGCAUGAUGCACAGGGCUUCCAUGGACCAAUUUGGCUACGUGGAGUUGAUUUUCUCCUUCAGCCCUUAUUAGCUUGCAAGCUAAUUGACCUCGCUGUGCCUCAGUUUCCUCAUCUGUCAGCUG